RNAcentral lists this small RNA (546 nucleotides) under Toxicocladosporium hominis. RNAcentral's name for it is "eukaryotic LSU rRNA". It matches the Rfam family "Eukaryotic large subunit ribosomal RNA", at positions 50 to 509 of the family's 3401-position model. The record is from RNAcentral. Lineage: Eukaryota; Fungi; Ascomycota; Dothideomycetes; Cladosporiales; Cladosporiaceae.
GCGGAGGAAAAGAAACCAACAGGGAUUGCCCUAGUAACGGCGAGUGAAGCGGCAACAGCUCAAAUUUGAAAUCUGGCGCUUCCGGCGUCCGAGUUGUAAUUUGUAGAGGAUGCUUCUGGGCAGCCACCGGUCUAAGUUCCUUGGAACAGGACGUCAUAGAGGGUGAGAAUCCCGUAUGUGACCGGAGAGGCGCCCUAUACGUAGCUCCUUCGACGAGUCGAGUUGUUUGGGAAUGCAGCUCUAAAUGGGAGGUAAAUUUCUUCUAAAGCUAAAUAUUGGCCAGAGACCGAUAGCGCACAAGUAGAGUGAUCGAAAGAUGAAAAGCACUUUGGAAAGAGAGUUAAAAAGCACGUGAAAUUGUUGAAAGGGAAGGGAUUGCAACCAGACUUGCUCGCGGUGUUCCGCCGGUCUUCUGACCGGUCUACUCGCCGCGUUGCAGGCCAGCAUCGUCUGGGGCCGCCGGAUAAGACUUUGGGAAAGUAGCUCCCUCGGGAGUGUUAUAGCCCUCGUGAUGCGGCGCGUCCCGGGCGAGGUCCGCGCUCGGCA